CAAGAAAUAGUUUAUUUAAAAUAUUAGUUUUGGAGACUAAAGAAGGAAAAAUCUUUUCUUGA
Molecule: transfer RNA, 62 nt
Filed under: Spinolyprops cribricollis
Lineage: Eukaryota; Metazoa; Arthropoda; Insecta; Coleoptera; Tenebrionidae
Description: tRNA-Pro
Source: RNAcentral